RNAcentral lists this long non-coding RNA (1706 nucleotides) under Mytilus galloprovincialis (Mediterranean mussel). The record is from RNAcentral. Lineage: Eukaryota; Metazoa; Mollusca; Bivalvia; Mytilida; Mytilidae.
UCUGGGCAAAUUUCUGGAAAUGUUCAUGGGCAGGAUGUAUAAAAUGAUAUGGCCAAUGCACUAUAUUUUGUGCAUCUCAAAGGUAGUGAUAAAUCUAGGAAAACUUAGAUUUCAAGUUUGUACCAUAGGGUUUUGAUUCUUUCACAGAAAUUAUUAAGCUUUAGCUUAGUGAAUGACUUAGUGUUAGUGCCUUAUUUUGUAGUUUUUAAAACGCAUGAAUUGUCUCAACAUUUAUCUUUGAUCUUACAUGUUGUACCUAUUAAAACAUUUAAACCAGCUGCAUUUGUCAGGAACCGCAUGUUCAGGGGUGCAUAAGGGUUUCUAGUUUUUUUUUAUUUGGAUCAGACUGUUUGUUUCCUGUUUGAAUGUUUUACACUAGUCAUUUUGGGCUCUAUAUAGCUUGCUAUUUGGUGUGAACCAAGGUUCCGUGUUGAAGACCAUAUUUUGAUCUAUAAUGGUUUACUUAUAUUACAAAUUGCGACUUGAAGAAGUCGUCUCCUUGACACUCAUACCACAUAUUCAUAUAUCUAUGUUUGUUUUGAAAUGUAUAGGUUUUAUCUUUCUGUGCAUGUAUUUGUAGUAGCCAUGUUGGUUUCAAAAGCACCGAUUGGCAAGCUUAUACUAGUAUUUGCAUACAUUUGUGAAUUUGUCACUAGACCAGACAACUAUGUAACAGAUGUAAUUUUACUUGCACAUGCUGCCUCUUGAAAAAUCUUUUAACAACUCUAUAAAGGUAAUUGCAAAACUACAAUACAAUAGGCCUGCAAAAUAUUCUGUGAAGUUGUUUAAGGUUGAAAACUUCACAUAAUUGUUCUUUGGAAUAUUCUGCUGAAAAUGUUCCUGAAGUCUUGAAUAAUGGGAAAAGUUCCUUAGAACUAUUAGAAUCUUUUGUGUGAAUACCUUUAAGAGUACACAACAAAAGAUAUUCAUCUCAAAUCACAAAAUCUCUUAUUGGCAAUCAUUCCACCUGUUCUCAUUUCUAGAACAAUUUGUAGAUGACACUCGAGAGUAUAUAUGUCUCACCUCUGCCACUUCGAGACAAAGCAAAUGCAAAUAAUGAUGGAUAGCAACCCUUUUCAAAUAAACAGGUUUUUUUUUAUUUUUUUUGUUUUAAAUAUGGUUCUGUAGCUUAUCUUUUUCACCACUAAGAACUUUAUUUGCUCAAUACUACCACUUUCAGACUACUGAAGCAUGCCCAAACUCACAAUUCAUAGUAUUAGAAAGGGAGCAGGUUUUCCACACAACCAAAUAAAUGGAGAAAGUUUCCAAGGGGGCACAGAUGAUGCCCAAGCUUGUAUGUUAUAAAGGGGCAUACUAGAGAACAGUUUUAAAUAGUCUUGCCACAGAGAUUCAAAAUUUACUUAUGUGGUAAUUUGCUUUGAAUACAUGUUUUCGUCACAUUUGGUUCAGGGAAACUUAAUUGAGAACAGAAACCAAUUUGAAUGGGGACAUAUAGUUGGAACCCCCCCCCCCUUUUUAAAAUGGCCGGAUCUGCCCCUGGUUGGACAAGGGUUCAGCUUCAUCUGCAGUGGGGUCAAAACUGCGAUAAUUGAACUCGUCACUGUCAAACUGAUUAUCAAAUAUGGACUCAUUCUGGUCAGUAGAACAUUUUUUAUCUAACUGUAAAUGUGUGAUGAAAAAUUAGUCAAUAUUAUCAGUAUCAAAAAAUAAAUUGGUUCCAGCAUUAAAAAGGCAACAAGUGCUGA